This is a long non-coding RNA of Photinus pyralis (common eastern firefly), 1852 nucleotides long. RefSeq lists it as uncharacterized. The transcript has 2 exons. NCBI's taxonomy places the organism in Eukaryota, Metazoa, Arthropoda, Insecta, Coleoptera, Lampyridae. The record is from RefSeq and is a predicted model, not a curated record.
UUGCAAGAUUGGGCUACUAGAUCAAAAUGGCCGGUUUUUCGGUAAAUCUAGUAUGACGAGUUGCCUAUACACCAGGGUGCACAAUCCUAACUCUCAUAAUAAAGCUUUUUUACAUAUUUUUAAAGUUCAUAUUGAAAUUUUGAGGCCAUUACCCAUACGUAUGACAUUUCAAUAAAUUUAAACAGAUGUAAAUAAGUACUAGAGAGUUUUAAUGAUACGAAAAUAUGAAAUUAGUAUUCAUUCUUUCCGCGCGUUAACAAAUCAAUUGUUGGGAACAUGAAGCCAUUGUAAUUCAAUAAACAAUGAUGAAACGAUAAUGCAGCAUCCAAUUAUCAAUGCUGAAGUUUAUGUGUUUUGUAAAUCUUUGAUCUUGUACUGCCUAAAUGUAGCAACACAAAGCAAAAUUUCAAAAAUAAAUCGUUUCGACAUCUAACGUUAUUUCUCUGAACUGAAUUGUAAAUGUUACCAAUAAAUGCAGGGCGCUAACUUAUCACCAUCAUAAUGUGACAUCAUAUUCGCAUAGAUGUCGCUACCGUAUGACAGAAACCUGCAACUAACCUACUAGUAAUAAUAUGAUCGAUUCAGCAAACUAAUGUCAGAUGUCAGACCGAAGUAUAUUUUAAAUUUAAAAAAAUCAAAAUGCAAUUUUGAUACAUUUAGACAGUAUAUGUACUUUAUUUCUUAGUCUAAGGUAUGUACAAGUAACAAAUUUACAAAACACAUAAACUUCAGCGUUUAUAAUUAUUGCUGCAUUACUUUUCAUCAUUGUUUAUUCACAACAAACGAUUAGUUAACGCGCGGAAAGAAUGAAUACUAAAUUCAUAUUUUUGUUUCAUACAACCACUUCGAGUUUCGAGUUUAAUGAAAUGCUGUACGUAAGGAUAAUAGCUUCAAAAUUCUAUUAUAUACUUUCAAAAAUAGGUAAAAAGGCUCGUUUGGAAAGUACACCCUGGUGUGUAGGCAACUCGUCUAACCGCAUGACGUAAAAGCGGCCAUGUUUUUAGCCAUUUUGUAUGUAUAGAACACGAAAUCUAAAGGCGAAGGAUCAGGAGAACAUAAACCAACAAGGAUAAUUGUACAUUUUUGGGAGUGGCUAUGAAAAUGCCGAUAAUGUCGUUUCCUAUAUUGACUGAGUAGUAAAUUAACCUCAAAGGCAGAAACAGUUGUUUACUUUUUUCAUCAUUAAAGUGAACGUUUUUUUGUAAUUCUUCCUGCUCCUACUAUUUCAAAAUAUGAAAAUGGAACUUCAAUUGAAAGUUUCGUUCAUGGAAUCGACUCUCAUGUUAGGUCUGGCUAUUGGGUGAAAUGCUCUGGCUUAGCUGAUCCCAAUGUAGGGGGGUUUGGGAUGGUAAACUUGGUCUUGGCCUUGCUGUUGAAACAGUUACACAGUACUCAUAUAGACGUUAGCGUAAUUAAGACCAAUGGCCACUUUCAAAGUACAUAACCAGAUCGAAAGCCUCGGGUCACUUUUUGUAUUGCAAUUGAAGAUAAAGUGAUUCCAAGAAGAGAAGUUCCACAAGAAACUUGAGACAAAUACCAACAGAAAUAUCUUUCGGGUUGUUUUAGAAAAGGAGACCCCUUCUGCCAAGAGAGUCAAGGGUUAAACUUCCUUACAAAUCUGUGGCGGAUAUUCAGUAAUUAGAAGGACAUCCUAUUUAUCACAAGAAGCAAAUGCACAUUAGUAGAUUUUGUAGUAUCAAUUUGUUAAACGAUUUGUGUUUGUUUAUCCGCAGUAUAAGUUAUGCAUGCACGAAUUCGCUUAUGCUUUGUGGAGAUGUAUUGUUCUUAGAUAUAAAUUUCAUGUUUCCAAGAGGUUCGAAUUUGGCAAAUAAACAGAUAAUUAAAUAUUCAA